RNAcentral lists this ribosomal RNA (429 nucleotides) under Actinomycetes bacterium. Its description in RNAcentral is "Actinobacteria bacterium partial 16S ribosomal RNA". It matches the Rfam family "Bacterial small subunit ribosomal RNA", at positions 355 to 776 of the family's 1533-position model. Lineage: Bacteria; Bacillati; Actinomycetota; Actinomycetes. The record is from RNAcentral.
UAGGGAAUAUUCCGCAAUGGGCGAAAGCUUGACGGAGCAACGCCGCGUGAGUGAUGAAGGUCUUCGGAUCGUAAAACUCUGUUAUUAGGGAAGAACGAAUGUGUAAGUAACUAUGCACCUCUUGACGGUACCUAAUCAGAAAGCCACGGCUAACUACGUGCCAGCAGCCGCGGUAAUACGUAGGUGGCAAGCGUUAUCCGGAAUUAUUGGGCGUAAAGCGCGCGUAGGCGGUUUUUUAAGUCUGAUGUGAAAGCCCACGGCUCAACCGUGGAGUGUCAUUGGAAACUGGAAAACUUGAGUGCAGAAGAGGAAAGUGGAAUUCCAUGUGUAGCGGUGAAAUGCGCAAAGAUAUGGAUGAACACCAGUGGCGAAGGCGACUUUCUUGUCUGUAAAUGACGCUGAUGUGCGAAAGCGUGGGGAUCAAACAGG